GCCAAAUCUUAAAAGACAAUCAACAAAUGAUCCAAAUGCUGGAACUGUCACUAAAAGAGUUUUAUAAGUUUAAAGUAGCUAUUAUAUCUCUGCUUUAUGAAGUAAAGAAAAAGAUACUUGAAGUGAAUGAAAAAAAACAGGAAUUCUUAACAGAGAAAGAAAAGUGAUACAAGAACAAAAUAGAAAUGUUAUUAAGUAAACAAAAGUUAAAAUAAAAACACACAAAACCUUCACUAGAUAGGCUCAAUAGAGUAUAGAGGACAAGAAAAAAAGGAGUGAACUUGAAAAUAGUCCAGUAGCAAUUAUGCAAAAUAAAAAGGGAAAAACUAUAGAAAAAAAUGAACAGAGCCUCAAGAAACUGUAGUAUAAUAUCAAAAAAUCUAACAUACAUGUAACUGGAGACCCAAAAGGAGAGAACAAAGACACAGAGACAGAAAAGGUAUUUAAGGAAAUUAAUGGCUGACAUUUUCACAAAUUUGGUAAAAGACAUAAUAAAUUUAUAUAUUCAAGAAGCUCAGAGAACCCAAAAUGAGAUAAACUAAAGAAAAACACACUUAAACAUAUCAUAAUCAAAGUACCAAAAACUAAAUAUAAAGAAAAAAAUUCUUAAAGCAGCAAAAGAAAAACCUAUACAUUACUGACAGAAACACUAAUUCAAAUAACAAUGAAUUUCUUCACAGAAACCAUUGAGUCCAGAGAGAGUGGACCAACAUAGCUUUAAUGUGCUGAAAUAGAAGAACAAUUGGUCAGGAAUUGUAUAAUAAACAAAUAUAAGGAUAUUUUCAUAAAAGGAAACAGACUCUGUCAGCAGCAGACAUGCUUGAGAAGAAAUGGUAAAGAAAAUUCACAGAAGAUCAUAUUAUACGAUUCUAUUUAUAUGAAAUGCACAGAGCUGUCAAAUCCAUAGAGACAGGAAGUAGAUUAGUAGAUUAGUUGUCUGGAGCUGUGGAGGCAGGAAGAGGUAAUGGGAAUGACUGGUAAUAGGCAUGGAGUUUCUUUGGGGGGAUGUUGAAAUGCUGUAAAAUUAGGUGUGGUGAUGACUGCACAGUUCUGUGAAUAUACGGAAAACCACUGAGCUGUAUUCUUUAAGUGGGUGUCUUUUAUGGUAUGUGAAAUAAUAUCUCAAUAAAACAGUAAAAAAAAAAAGAAAAGAAAACCCAAACACCUAACGUAUGAGUUUCCUUCAUAUGAAGGCAAAUCUAAUAAUCUGUAGUGCUUAGGUGUGAAUAACUGGGUAUUAAAAAGCUAAGGGAAAAAAAAAACAGAAAAUGAUUGCCCUAAUAGAUAAGAUAGUAGUUAGCCUCAAGGUUACAAUAAGAAAGAAUAUGGGCAGCUCGUGGCAAUAUUUACUUCUUGACCUGGGUGGUGGUCCUACGAAUAUUCACUUUCAAAUAAUUCAUUAAGCUAUAUAUUUAUGUUCCAUGUUUUUUAUAUGGUAUAUUUCAUAAUUUGAAAGAUUUAAAAAGCAAAAUAAAACUAUAGAAAGUACUAGAGAAAUACCUUAUUUUUAAAUAUCAAGAAACCAUAAAUGAAAACAGUGACAGAUCUAACUAUAUAAAAAUUAUAAACAGGAAAAGUGAUAACUCUCAAUACUGGCUAGGUUACCAAGAAAUAGGGACAGCCUCAGGACGUGGGUAAUAAUGUAAACUUUAGGGCUGUUUAGUAAUAUGCAUCAAAGCCCUCAAAUAAGUGCACACCCUCUAGCAAGACAAUUAUUCUACUUCUUUAGGAAGUAAUCAAAGAUGUGAAUAAAGACUUGACUACAAGGAUGCUUAUAACAAUGAUAUUGCAUUAUUUAUAAGUAAAACUUUUAAACAGCGAUUUAGUAGCUAAACUGGUUCAUUCAUCUACAUAGUCACUAAAAGUAAUCUAUAAAAAUAUUCACUAAUAUUCAAAGAUUUCAGAAUAUACUAGUAAAAUGACAUUAUAAAGAAAUAUUAUCAAUAUUAUUUUAUCUUUUAGAAACAUACAAAACAGGUGAUGUGGAAGUUUUAUACUGAAAUAUAAAAGUGGUUUUCUUCAUGGGAAGUAAGGUGAGAUUAUUGGUGACUUCUAUUUUCUUCUUUUUUAGUCUGUAUUUUCUAAUUUUUUCAUAAUGGAGGAUUAAGUUACUUUUGAAAAGAAAUAAACAGUUGACAGUAUCUGCCCUUAAGAUGAGGUGAUGAAAGUCUCUGUGGUCUUUCUCCACAAAACCCAUGAGAAAAACGUAAUCAUAAGAAAAACGUCAUAUUCCAAUAGACAAGCUUCCUACAAAAUACUUGGCCAGUAUUCCUUACGACUGUCAAGGUCAUCAAAAACAAGUAAAGUCAAGAGAAA
This 2316-nucleotide long non-coding RNA is filed under the name Homo sapiens (human). RNAcentral's name for it is "HSALNT0220036". Lineage: Eukaryota; Metazoa; Chordata; Mammalia; Primates; Hominidae. The record is from RNAcentral.